GGCUCAGCGUGCCCAACACUGGGAGUCAGAAACGCGAGGGCCCAGCCACGGAAGGCUGCGCCCACAUGUCUAAGAAUUUUACUCCAUAAAGACUGGAGAGAAAGCCCCUCGUGGAAAGAAGAGCAGUCAAGAGCAUUCUGUUUUUCAGAGGACCGCCCUCAAGAGAAACCAUUCAACCAGCACCCAGACUAGUGGGCUUUAUCAGAGCCUGACCAACCUGGAGGAAGGGAAACAGCCAACUCCAGCCCUCUUCAGCGUUCCACAGAGCAAAAGGAGAAUAACUAACAGUAGCUCCUUCCACCAUUCUGUUGCUCCGGAAGGGAGGGGAGCGCUGAGAAGCAUGUGUGCAGGCUUGCUGGAGUUCCUUCAAGAACUUUGCUUCCAGCUCGCAAGAAAAAAAUUACAAGCCAUACUGAAAAGUCAAAACCACAGUUUGAAGAGAUGGAGCAAGAAUCCAAACCAGAGUCCAAUAUGGCAGAUGGUGGAAUCACCUGGACAGCAAUUAACCCUCCUAUCUCCUUAAGACUGACACAGCAGGCAAGAUGGUUUCAAAACAAAGCAGAGGAACUACUUGUCCUACCAACAUCAAGACAUGUUCAAAAUAUAGAAACUAAGGUAGUAUGGAAUUGGUAUUGGGGUACGAAAAGAAUAAAACGUCCAGAAGUGUAACAAAUGUGGCCUUAUGUAUCACUAAUAAAUAUAAAUGGUGCUUGGACAACUGACUAUCAUGGCA
This 733-nucleotide long non-coding RNA is filed under the name Heterocephalus glaber (naked mole-rat). Its description in RNAcentral is "lncRNA (ENSHGLG00000039151.1)". Lineage: Eukaryota; Metazoa; Chordata; Mammalia; Rodentia; Bathyergidae. The record is from RNAcentral.